UAUAAGCUCUUUAUAUUGGAGAAUAGCACAUGCAUCCAGUGCACUUGUGUAGGUCAGUAUAUAUCAAAGCUCUGCUUCAUCAUGUAGAUUAUCUCCUGGCUCAAAUCUGAAAAAUAUGACUGAGGCAUUAAGAUAUUAUAAACAUUAACAUCAUAGUUUUCUUUAAAGCUGCUUUGAAACAAUUGCUAUUGAAAAAAAAAGUGCUAUAUAAAUAAAUCUGACUUCACUCAAAUUGACUGAUAUUUUAUCACAUACUAUUUUAUCUGAGAUAAUCGUGUAUCUAUUCAGGAUUUCAUGGUAAAGUGGUUAGUUCAUGCUAAAGUCAGACUGUGAGUUUCAUAAGAAAUGGAAAUGGAAAAAGGCAUUUAACCACACGCUAAUGACGCCUUUGGCAGUGUCUGUGUUAAAUGUCAACCGCAAACAUUCAGCAAAAACAUUCAAGCACAACUGUUUGUCCACCAGAAGAUCAGCACAGAUGUCAGAAAUCAGAUGCAAAAUGUUUCUUGAUUUUUUUUUUUUUUUUUAAGAAAAA
Long non-coding RNA from Carassius carassius (crucian carp), 532 nucleotides. RefSeq lists it as uncharacterized. The transcript has 2 exons. The record is from RefSeq and is a predicted model, not a curated record. Lineage: Eukaryota; Metazoa; Chordata; Actinopteri; Cypriniformes; Cyprinidae.